Long non-coding RNA from Oryzias latipes (Japanese medaka), 5459 nucleotides. RefSeq lists it as uncharacterized. The record is from RefSeq and is a predicted model, not a curated record. NCBI's taxonomy places the organism in Eukaryota, Metazoa, Chordata, Actinopteri, Beloniformes, Adrianichthyidae.
AAAUUCCUCUUAUCUCCUUUUUGACCCUUGGACUCAAACAGCACAAAGACCAGUAACCUGGAUACAGAAAUCAAAUGAACAGAAGAGCAACCAAAGGCUGGAGCUUUAGGUACUGAGGAGAGACCACAGAGCCCCCCUCAUCAUCAGAGACAUCCCAUCAUGGGAUGCUGGGUUCAGAUGGUGAAGAGACUGACUGCAGUAUGUCUGUCUGGACCGGCUGCUAACAACUUCAGCAAGGGAUAAUCAACUAGCCUGCAGGCAGCAAGGAUUGUAGUUUCUCCAAUGUAAGUGAAACAAAUGGGAUGUAAAGCUACCUUUCCCUCACAGAUAUCUCAACAUCCAUCAAUUAGCUGAAAGUAGAUAAGCAAGAGUAAGUAAGAGAAAGCGGUUUGUUAACAUGGCACUAAAAUAUACAAAACUGGAAAGUUGUUUGUCACUACAAAACAUACAGUGGAAGCUAGAUUAUUCAGUAAACAUUCAAUUCAAUUAAUUUUUAUUUGUACAGCCCAAAUUCACAACAACAGUCAUCUCAAUGGGCUUUGUACUGGUAAUUGUAAAGUGAACAGACAAUAAAAAGGAGAACUCAAUAGGAAAAUACUAAACGUUAACUAAACUGACUAAACUAAACUAGUAAUCCCUGCCCUUAGACCCUCCUUCGUCAUCAACAUCAACAUACUUCCAUUUUGUGUAAAUAUUGUUUGUUGACUUUUAUGUCUUGUAAAUAAGAUCAAACUGAUGGCUUAUUUAUUUAAAAAAUACAUUGAAAGAAAUGUUUUUCAAAUAACAAAUCGUUCAAAUGCAAUGCAUUGUGGUUUUUAUUUACCAAUAGUGAGCAUCGAUGUGUGUUGGUUUUUCGCAGGUUUCUGAGAAAAUUCUCGGGCACUGUAUUUUAGAAUUGUAGACUCAGACAAAAUGUCAAAUGCUCUUUAGAGUGCACUUAGUAGUGAGUAGUGAAGGAAUUUGGACACAACCUUGAUGAAUUGGGGUCUAGUAAAAUCUUGUUAAGACGUGGUCGUCCUGGUGUUUGUCUUUGAUGUCGGAUGUUGACAGCCAUGCAUGGUCUCUCAGGGCUGUUUGGGUGUUUUCUCAGAGUCUUUGGGUUAAAUAUGUUUGUUGGUGCUAACUUUGCAGCGUUAAAUCAAGAAUUCCCCAAAGACCUGGAGGCAUGUCAUGUGAUAGUUGAGGUUUUGUGCUAUUUGGCCAUCAGUAUUGCUGACUUGACUGAGGUUUUUGAGUGUGGGGUUUGGCGACUCUUUAAGAUGGUGUAAAUAAAAGACAUAGCUAAGAUCAAUUUUGCUAACAUGUGCUAACUCUGUCUUGUUUUUUCUGUGUGAUCCAGCUGCCUCGAUCUGUGUUUUCUAUGUUUGUUAAUUUAGCUGAUGAUGAUAUUUUUUCUACUAACAGAGCACUUCUUGUCCUUGAUCUUGCUGAUGACAAACGCACCUGCUGGAAAAAAUGGCGGAGUAGUACAAUAGUAAUAGCAGUAGCAGACACAUCUGAUGUUAAUCUAACAAUUAAAUAUCUUGUUGAGUCACAAAAGAAAAACUGUCUUAACGUUGGGAAGAGAGAUCUGCAGAAACAGCUUAAUGUGUUUUUGUUUUUCAUUCAUCUUCUGAACCUGCUAAGUCCCUUUCACAGAGCUGCUGGAGCCAACCCAGCUACUGUUGACCAAAGGCAGGCUUUACCCUGGACAGGUUGCCAGUCUGUCGCAGGGCCAUGUCUUUCAAUGUACUCUAAACACCUGUGAAUCUGCAUUUCCGGUCUCUUCGUUCAAAACUCUCAUGUUCACACUUCGUUAAGUACAUUUCUGCAAUCAUUUUUGGGGCUCUACUUUUCAAUAAGUCUCAAAAAAUGGGUAUGGGUUAGGAAAAUGGAUGGAUGGUAUAUUUGACUUGUACUAAUCUAAAUUACAUUACCAAGGAAAAAAAUGAUACAUGUUUUACAAUAAAAUUAUAAAAACUAGUCUCCUGGUUUGAGACCAAAACAUUUGGCAAUGACUUUACAUUUUUUGAAAGUGGUGACCUUACUUUUAAAUAAAUAGUUAAUGCACUUCCUAUUGUUGGAUUAGUGAGUCAAAAACAUUCUAAGGAAUGAGAGUAUGCGGGAAGAAUCAGUAUUCACAACAUGCAAGCGAUACAUGGAAACAAAAUUGUCUUUCAUACCCUCAGGUAUUAAUUAAACAUGUGAGACACCUAAUACAAUUUUGAGGUGAUUCAUGUUUGUUAAGAUUGUCUAAUAUUAACUCAUUCAUAUAUUUGACAGGAAGAUAAAAGGAUUACAGAGGGAAAUUGUCCUGUUAUGAUAUGCUUCAGCCCCAUUGCAAUGAUUACACGACGGAGGGUAUGAAUUAUGGGAUUCAUUCUUGGCUUUGCGUCCCAGAGGACAAACCUUUCUACUGUACUUGACUUUAAAGUCCAACCUGAUAUAUCUGACAAUUGUCUUUCCAAAUCUGACCCGCAUGUGACCGCACCUGAUGGAUGCUUCUGCCCCGGUGAGCUCUACAGAGAGGUUACCAACUGGUCCACAGGUUGAGGGAUAUCGUGCUUCUCCUCCCUGGUCAGGAUGCCGCUGUCUCCGUUGACAAACAACCCCUCUGUUUGUGGUGAAUCAGCAAGAAAAAGUGAAAAAUGGCCUCAGUGAUUCAAAGCUAAACAUCUGUGUGCCUCCGCACGCUCACUAUACACAGAUUCAACAAGAGAAGCUUUUUUGCACCAAUUUUUCUUCUUCAACAAAAAAAAAAAAGUACCAAUGACGGUAGUUAAUAUGGGUUUAAUAAAUAAGGCUUCCAGUUGAUUAAAAUAACAAUAAUGUAUGGAUCAAAUAUAGAUACCUUGUUCUUCCUUGUCGCAAAUUUCAAUUUAUAGAGAUGACAAAAAUAAACUGUGUCAGCAGUUGUGUGUUUACAUCUUCAAAUGGGGUUUUAGGUCAUUCUGACAAAGCCUACAUGCUCCCUGGUUUGAUGUGAGCUGGUGCUGCUCAUGCAGAAAUAAUUAAACUGGUAAAUGGUGAGAAAUGAUUUGUCCCUGCUGUCUGGAAUUAAAUUAAGUGUCAAUACAGAGUAUUCAUUUACUUGUGCUGUUUCGAUGAAAAGCAGAGGAGGAAAAUAAAUCACAAAGGACUACAACAUUUCUCUCCUAUAAUUUUGCAUUCACAAUGGCUUUAAGAACAAUAACAUCCCUGUUUUUGGCCAUAAAGCAGAUCUGAGAGGAAAACAGUGUUUUAGAAACCCUCCAGUAUGCUUUAAGUCUUUCAGAUGUUAAGGCUGCUUGUGUGUCAUCAAUUCAAUUUUAUUUAUAUAGCCCAAUAUUUAGAACAAUAGUCAUCAUUGAUAAUGGGAAGAAACCUCCUUUCAAUCCAGAAAAUUCACCUUUAUUAAUAUUUGUGUGUUCAUGAGUGCAUUUAAUCCAGGAAUAACAUAGAUCGUUCCAUUUAUAGCCAUUAGAGUGUGAGGAUAAAUGAAAUGAGCCAGGUCCUUGUCAAUAACUGUCCUCUGACUUGUAUUUAAUAGGGUGAUAACUGGUAAAUGUGCUGCGCUACAUUAAGUUGCAUUGUUCAAUCUGUAAAGGAUCAAUUCUUUUUUUUUGUACAUCUUUUUUUUUAUUCUAAUCAGUCAUAAGCUUUUGCCAUUUUGGAGCAAAAAAGAAGAAGUUCAGUUACGUCCUGGAAAAGGACUGUGAGGCUGGAUGGAGGCUUCAGGUAAAAAAAAAUUUCUUUAAUCGGAUAUUUGAUUACCUGGCUUUUGGAUUUAACAGCCAGUUGUGUGGGAUUUGCAGGUUCACUUUGUAGGUGUGGAUUUUGUAUCCCUACUUUGUCCCACAGUUGCAAAACAUCUUUAAUGGGUUAAUUGGGAGCCCUAAAUGAUCCCUUAGGUGUGAGUGUGUCGGUGUGGCUCCAUGAUGGACUGGUGAACUGUCCAGGGAUAACGCUGCUUUCUCCACAGAAACUGACAUAAGUUUCAGCAUCUCAUGUGACCCUGACAUGCAUAGGACAGUGUGAGAAUAAUAGACAGAUGGAUGAAUUUUGUAAUUUUGCAGGUUUUGUAAAAAGGUGGGUUCUGUGUAAACGUAUUGCAGAGGAGCCCUGGUCGAAUUGUUGUAGCAGAGCGCAACGAGCAGCAAACUAUUGUGACAAAGGUGGAGCGUGUGAAAAAUGGUUUGAUGGAAGCAUCACCCUCUUGAAACAUGGUUUGAUAAAGAGAGGACUCCCAAAAGAUUGAUAUGACGUCUAAUUCAACUUACAUGGGAGUGACUGAGGGGUUUUUGCUAACUGAGAAGUUUUCUAAUAACAUCCGUUUAAACUCUCAGAGACGAUUGAGGAAACUGAUAAAUAAAAAGUAUUUUUAAAAACCUUUACACAUAAACAUUUAAAGUUUUUGCUCAAAGUGCAUUACAGUCAUGUUUUGUUGAAGGUUCACAAAAAGGAAUUUCUAGAUUUAAGAGAAAAAAAAGUCAAAUUAAAAUUCCCAACAAUGAUUACUGUAUCUAUAAGAUCAGGCUUAGCCUACAAUCUGAUUCACUUUUCUCCAUUGUUGUCUACUUAAACUUCCACUUUAUGUUAGGUUAGAUAGGAGGGGAACAUUUUUAAUCAAUCUAAAAACAGACCUUUGCUAACACCCACCGCAAUUUCCCUUUUUUUGUUUCUCCAGUUAGAAUUCCAUGAAAUGUAAAUAUUAAAACAGUUUUAGUGGGAACAACAGAAAUCAAUGUCAUACAAAUGAAUGAAUGUUUGUUAAACUGGAACAUUGACAUUUUUAGAGAGCCGCUGCAUUGUUAAAGUUCCCCCCUUAAGUUACUUCUUUCUUUCUUAACCAAAAAUGUGUAACAUCUGAUCAACAUCCACAGUUGUUGCUACCAUUCAUAAUUACAAGACAUUUUCAUCACAUUUGGACAAUCAGAAGAAAUACAAAAAGUGACUGAGGAAGAGGUAACUUACUUAAAAAACAUGAGUUAGAGUCGACAUGAUCUGAACUCUUUGAAAAACUUCUCAGCUACAAAAUAUGUCAAUGAGUAGCUGUGAGGAGUAGACGCAGAACACAGUCAGCAGUAGGAUUUGUAGACCUGGGUGAGGGUGUUCAGGUUAUGUUGACCUCUCUGUGAUGGAAGAUCUGCAACUGUCUUACAGGCCGUCAUGUAAACAGCUACAGUAGAGAGCAGCUCUGAGACAUGUAGCCUUAUUUUAUUGAUAUUUUAAUGUUAAUAGCCCUUUAGAAAGAAUGUUACCGUAAUCUGUUGAUGAUGAGUACUUUCUUUAUUUACUGGGCCAACACUGCUCCCUAGUGUUGGUUUCACAGGGUAAAACUCACGUUUGGACUUUUGCAUGAGAAAGGGGACAUUUUUAUCCAGUUUAAGGACCUGGUGAUUAAUACCUGUCAAACUUGUAUCAAUCCUGCUGUUUUGGCCAAAAAUAAGACAAAUCCCUGUUUUACCCAGGGAGGGAAUAUGCUGAGGAGUUUGCACUGA